Molecule: ribosomal RNA, 253 nt
Filed under: uncultured bacterium
Lineage: Bacteria
Description: partial 16S ribosomal RNA
Rfam family: Bacterial small subunit ribosomal RNA
Source: RNAcentral
UACGUAGGGCGCAAGCGUUGUCCGGAAUUAUUGGGCGUAAAGAGCUCGUAGGCGGCUUGUCGCGUCGGAUGUGAAAGCCCGGGGCUUAACCCCGGGUCUGCAUUCGAUACGGGCAGGCCGGAGUGUGGUAGGGGAGAUCGGAAUUCCUGGUGUAGCGGUGAAAUGCGCAGAUAUCAGGAGGAACACCGGUGGCGAAGGCGGAUCUCUGGGCCAUUACUGACGCUGAGGAGCGAAAGCGUGGGGAGCGAACAGG